GAGUUUGAUUAUGGCUCAGGACGAACGCUGGCGGCGUGCUUAACACAUGCAAGUCGAACGUGAUUUUUGUGGAAAUUCUUUCGGGAAUGGAAGUAAAAUGAAAGUGGCGAACGGGUGAGUAACACGUGAGCAACCUACCUUACACAGGGGGAUAGCCGUUGGAAACGACGAUUAAUACCGCAUGAGACCACAGUAUCGCAUGGUAUAGGGGUCAAAGAUUUAUCGGUGUAAGAUGGGCUCGCGUCUGAUUAGCUAGUUGGAAGGGUAAAGGCCUACCAAGGCGACGAUCAGUAGCCGGUCUGAGAGGAUGAACGGCCACAUUGGAACUGAGACACGGUCCAAACUCCUACGGGAGGCAGCAGUGGGGAAUAUUGCACAAUGGGGGGAACCCUGAUGCAGCGACGCCGCGUGAGCGAAGAAGGUUUUCGAAUCGUAAAGCUCUGUCCUAUGAGAAGAUAAUGACGUUNUGNGAGCC
This 475-nucleotide ribosomal RNA is filed under the name Parvimonas sp. canine oral taxon 102. RNAcentral describes it as "bacterial SSU rRNA". It matches the Rfam family "Bacterial small subunit ribosomal RNA", at positions 9 to 467 of the family's 1533-position model. Lineage: Bacteria; Bacillati; Bacillota; Tissierellia; Tissierellales; Peptoniphilaceae. The record is from RNAcentral.